ACAGACCACGGAUGUCUGCAGGGGACAAGAAAAGAGCCGCUCCGCUGGAUGGAGGCCAUGCAGAGAUGCACUCCUCUGGAUCUCUGCACAUUUUCCACUGCAGUCAAAUAAAAACCUGAUUUUAUGUGCAGAAUAUGGGCCAUUGAAGCAAGCAACUAUAAACCUAAGGGGGACUGGCCAUUUCCCUGGCAGACAGUGGCCAUCUGGCCGAGGGGUUUGGAGACAGACGCUGUCUGUUGAGCACUAUAACCCUUAUCUCCAUGCCACGUCUCAAAUGCCCCUGCCACUCUCUUGGGUCUCCCUUCACACCGGAAGAGACACUCUGACAUGGAUGAGAGAAGACAGACGGGAUAUCUGGCAUGGUUGGGACUGAAGAGAGAAUGCAAGAGAGGAGUAAAAAAAAAUAAAAAAUCACUGUUGUCAGCUGGCCAAACCAAGCAGACACAUAUCAUCAUUCUAUUGGGCACAGAUCCAAAUCAAUAUCUUGUUACUGACAAAGCUAGUAGGUUUGAUGUAUGCUGUUUUCUGCCUCAGGUUUAUCACACAGAUCAUCAGUCCUGAGGUGUGAACAUCUACAGAAACAUCAGUUGUGAUGGUGUGUGGCAGUAGCUCAUGGUUAGGGAAGUGUGUUGGUUCACUGACGGUGGCUCAUCACACAUUUUCAAGUCUGUCUCAGUUCUGUUCUUGGUAGAUGAAAGGCCUUUUAACUAUAAAUCAGGGCAUGCAGUAAUUUCUUCUUUGGGCUCAAAACAGGGCAGCUUGUUGAAGAUGUGAAGAUAUGCACACACACAGUACACAUACUGUCAACACAAUGGAGCACGAUGUGA
Long non-coding RNA from Perca fluviatilis (European perch), 827 nucleotides. RefSeq lists it as uncharacterized. NCBI's taxonomy places the organism in Eukaryota, Metazoa, Chordata, Actinopteri, Perciformes, Percidae. The transcript has 3 exons. The record is from RefSeq and is a predicted model, not a curated record.